Podarcis lilfordi (Lilford's wall lizard) is the source of this 12109-nucleotide non-coding RNA. NCBI's taxonomy places the organism in Eukaryota, Metazoa, Chordata, Lepidosauria, Squamata, Lacertidae. The record is from the annotation of a GenBank genome assembly.
CCGUGAAAGUGUUCCUGCACCAGCUUUAUUCAGGUGUCAGUUCUGCAGCUCUUGCAGGGAAGAUGGUGGCAGAGUCAACCUGCCACAGCCUCGGGAGUAUCCUGACCACUUUGAUUGUUAAGCUUGUGUAGAAGUCAAUCAGCAUCACUUAACAUACUCAGACUUACAUCCUGAGCAACUUCCUUGUAGCUCUCCCAGUAGUCUUGGCUAGAACUGAACAACAGUGCAUAGGCUGAAUCUCUUCCUGACAUCAUUUAGGUCAGCAGUGUCUAACUUGUGACCUUCCAGAUGUUGUUGGACUCCAAUUCCCUUCAACCCUAAACAGCAUGGCCAAUGGGCAGGUAUGGUGGAAGUUGUAGUCCGAUGGCCUCUUGUGGUCUCCUUAGCUCCAUCUCCAGAGAUCCCCUUGGCUGCCCCACCCAGUGGUCAACAGCUGCUGCCGCUGCCCAUAACACCUGGAAUCUUGAAUGCAGUAUUUAAAGGGCCCAUAGCCAUUUCUGCAGAUGCAUACUCCUCCAUGACUGUAGAGCAGAGUCUGGGGAUGUUUGGAGAGACAAGCUGAGGUGGUGAAGAAGGGACCACUGAAGGUGGGGUGUGUGUUUGGAAUCAAGGCAUCUGGUUGGCCACUUUGAGAGCAGGAUGCUGGACUAGGUGGGCCACUGGCCUGAUCCAGCAGGUUCUUCUUAUGUUCUUACUCCAGUCUCAGCUGCCCAGGGACUGAAUCUGACCUGGUGGAGUGGGGGAGGCAGUAGAAGUAGGCAAAUAGGAGGCAGUGGUGUGCAUUCAUGACCUCAAUAUGGUUGAGGUCAUGGCAUGAGGACACAAGAGUAUUGCCACAUUUCCUGAUGUGCCUGAUGUCAACCCAACCAAGCAAGGAAAGAGUUAGAGGAGAGGCAGUGUGGAAAGCUGUGGGCGAUGAACAGAAGCCUGGGACAGAAACAAAGGCAAUUACUGUAAUUGAACAGCUACCUAUCAGCAGGCUGACACCUCAUCAGCGCCUGCAGUGAAUGACAGGUAAAUACCUUCCCCUUUUGACAGUUUAAUUAACCAAAAUAAAUGGGGCACUGGGAAUUAUGAGGUUUCUUACCAGAACAUGUUCCCAAGGAGAUUUGAGACCCUUUCUUCCCUUCAUUCCUUUGCCUCUCUUCCCGUAACAGUCACGGGGGUGUCUUUGCUUGUAAGAAAACCACUCCAUUAUUGGCUAAGGAGUGCCAGAGUGAGGAAGGCUUAGAAGUCCUUGUGACCCAUAUGGUGCUGGCGAUGAAGCCUCUGGGAGUGAUUGGCUGAAAUGUGCUGAUGUCACAGAGAUAACUGCCAUUGGUGGAGUGCCAUGAGAGAUGACUGCCAUUGGUGGAGCAGAUCUGUUCUUUGAGUGUGGCAGGAAAAUCAAACGGUUUUGGGAAAGCUACACAUUGGGAGACUCAGACAAAAAGAAGUACUUAUUGACACAGAACACCGUUAAAACUAUGGAAUUUGGUUUCACAAGAAUGACCACCAGCUUGGCCAGCUUUAAAGGGGGGUUAAUGGAGGAUAAAGCUACCAAUUGCAAACAGAUUUGCUAUACAGUGAUACCUCGAGUUACGAACUUAAUUUGUUCUGUAGGUCUUUUCUUAACCCGAAACCGUUCUUAACCUGAGGCGCGCUUUCGCCAAUGGGGCCUCACGCUGCCACCGCACCAGCACCACGCGAUUUCCGUUCUCAUCCUGGGGCAAAGUUCGCAACCCAGAGCAACUACUUGUGGGUUAGCAGAGUUUGUAACCCGAAGCGUUUGUAACCUGAGGUACCACUGUAUAUACUUGGUAUCUGUAGUAGCAGAAGCAAUAUGCCUCUGAAUACCAGUUUCUGGGGUUGGUAGGAAAGAGAGUGCUUGUGUUGUGCCUGUGGACUUUCCACUGGUAUCUGAUUAACCAUCCUGUAAUGGUCAGGGGUCCCUUUACCUUUUUUUAAUAAUAGAAUGCUAGACUGAUUCAGCGGGCUCUGAUCCAACAGGGAACCUCUUACAUAUGGACUAUGUAACAACUCCCAGGGGGAAGGCUGUCUUUGGACAUAGGAAAUGUUGAACUAGACCAUCUGUCCAUCUGGCUCCAGAUUGCCUCUCAACACAAGUUGCUAGGAAACAUGAGUGGGGAAGAGGUCUGUUGUGCUUCUGCCCUCAAUGUGGGUUUCCCAGAGGCAUGUGGUUGACCACUGUAAGAUGCUGGAUUCGAUGGUCUGGUCCAAAUGGGCUUUUCCUAUAUUCUUAUCUCCUCCAGUUGCUGUUGAACUACAACUCCACAUUGGCCAUGAUGGCUAGGGCUGAUGGAGUUGGCAUCAAACAACAUCUGGAGGGCACAAUGUUGGCUACCCCGGUUCAUAUCAUUGACUGCUAACUCAAGGCACAAUACUUUCCAAUGGGACCUGUUCACAGAUUCAACUGUAAUCACAGAGCAUUGAGUAACAAAGAAUAAUGUGGAGAUGGCUUUAAAACAGAAUUAGACAAAUUCAUGCAUGUAAAUGCUAUCAGUGGUUGGAGGCAGUAGGCUUCUGAAUAGCAGUUGUUGGAAACUGCAGGAGAAGCAAGUACUCUUGUCCUCAGGUCCUGCUUACAGGCUGACCACCGUGAGAACAGGAUGUUGGACUAGUUGAGUAAUCAACCUGAUCCAGCAGGGCUCUUUUUAUGUCCUUUUGAGCAUGUGGGCAUACGUGACUUGUGUGAUAUUUAAGGCUAUUCUGGACAACACUUAGUUCUUUCUUCCAGUCUCUUCUUUUAUCUCCUGCCUUUCCAGAGCUUGACUAUCUGGCUUUCUAAUUCAGACAUCUGUUAAUUAUAUUUGCAAAGAUUUCCGUUGUUGCAGGAGGACAGACCUGUCUUCCCCUUGCUCUCCCAGCUAACGAUUUCUCUCUUCCUUGGUUAUAAUCUCGCCAUUGAAGCUGAUUCUGUUUGAUCUUCUCAUUGUAAUGCAGUCAGGGGAAGCAAGUCCAGAAAACAGCCCUCUUUAGAAUUAAACCGUUUUUCUCUAAUGUGAUUACAAAUGGUUGUUAACCCUCCUAACCACAUGAAGGAAUUGAUAUUUAGGGAUGCGGGCUGAAUGGAUGCCCCUCCUCUGCCAGGUGUCAUCUCAACAAAGGGUGCCUGUUCUAGCCCAAACAAUUAUCCUCCCCCCUUCACUUCCCACAUCAGGGACGGGAGGUGGAGGGAAUGGAAUAAUGACUGGAAAAAGGAAAGGCUAUAAUGCUUGAGAAGCUCUUAGAAGCUGUGACCGUUUAUUGUGAUGCUGUGUGAACAUUGUUCUAAUCUUUCUCAUGUGUUUGCUGGAGGAAUACUCUUCAAAAGAGGAUCUGGUGCUCCCCAAACCAAAUAUUGUGGGGGAGCAGUGUGUGUCAAGGGACCAUGAGAUGGAGUAAGGAGAUCAGAGUCUGCAGGGGAUAUGGUAUCCCAGCCUCCUUUGCAAGAUCUCGAGGGCCCUUGCUCAGAACUGGAGGAGGAGGCCGAGCUGCCAUUGAGCCCAUAUGAUUAUUCAAAGAACAGAGUAAAAAAAGGUAAAGGACUCUUGAACGGUUAAGUCCAGUCAAAGGCAACUAUGGGGUUGUGGUGCUCAUCUCACUUUCAGGCUGAAGGAGCUGGCGUUUGUCCACAGACAGCUUCCUGGGUCAUGUGGCCAGCAUGACUAAACCACUUCUGGCACAACAGAACACUGCAACGGAAACCAGAGCACACGGAAAUGCAGUUUACUUUCCCACUACAGUGGUACCUAUUUAUCUACUUGCACUGGCAUGCUUUCGAACUGCUAGGUUGGCAGGAGAUGGGACAGAGCAACAGGAGCUCACUCCAUUGUGGGGAUUCAAACCGCUGACCUUCCAAUCAGCAAGCCCAAGAGGCUCAGUGGUUUAGACCUCAGUGCCACCUGCGUCCCUGUUUCAAAGAACAGAACCAAAGGUCCAAUGCCCAUCUGGCAUCAUGAAGCCUGUCACUCAUGUGCUCCACUCAUGAGAUAGAAGCCAGGCUCAACACAUGUUUAGAGUCCUGUUUAUACUCCAGGAAGCCUAAUGGUUUGCUGCCACAACACCUCAUCUUGCUUGAUUUUCAGUGGCUUCUUAGCUGGACAGCUCCACUUUUGUCUUGGACACUGCCCUUACCUACUGGACGUCUCCUUGGUCUUGCUGAGUAAGUGGGAAUCUACACUGCAUAGCCUUGGUGGUGGGAAUGGCGCACCUCACCUCCUGAGCAAUGUAACAGCUUUAAAAGAGCUGAAGUGUGGUGGAAAGAGGUUUGUGCUGGGAAGCUAGUGUGAACAUUUAAGGAAAAGGGUUAAGGUCAUUGUAACAAUAUGUGGUUUCCCAAGGAGUGCAGAGUGCUGGGAGAGAUUGCGGCCACUGGUCGCUGGAUGCAAGUAUCUUGUUUUCUGUGCCACCAAGUUAGCUCAUGAUGUAACUGGCCUGGUGCCCCGUGGUGCCUCUGUUGCAGAAGAUCAGAAGAUAGUACUGCAGCUGCCUAUCUAGCAGGGAUCAAAUUAUGCAAAGCAACAAUAGGGUCCCACCUGGUCCUAUAAAGCUGCUGGUUCUUCUCCUUUGAGCAAAUUAUCAGUCAAGUGAAGGCUGAACUUUCUAUCCUUGUGUAUGCAUUUGGGAGAUAAACAUAUGAGCUUGUCAAUCACAACUGCACUGAAGAUGGGAGGAGUGCAAUAAGUAUGGAGGAGGAGGAGGAGGAGGAGGAGGAGGAGGAGGAGGAGGAGGAGGAGGAGGAGGAGGAGGAGAAGAAGAAGAAGAAGAAGAAGAAGAAGAAGAAGAAGAAGAAGAGUUUGGAUUUGAUAUCCCGUCUUUCACUCCCCUUCAGGAGUCUCAAAGCGGCUAACAUUCUCCUUUCCCUUCCUCCCCCACAACAAACACUCUGUGAGGUGAGUGGGGCUGAGAGACCUCAAAGAAGUGUGACUGGCCCAAGGUCACCCAGCAGCUGCAUGUGGAGAAGUGGAGAUGCAAACCCGGUUCCCCAGAUUACGAGACUACCGCUCUUAACCACUACACCACACUGGCUCUCGGGAAGUGCAGCCUGGAAGAAUUUCUUGCAAUUGGAUAAGGUGUUUCAAGUGUGAAUUCCCCUUCAUCAUUGGUUUCCCAGGUUGUCCUCUCCCUAAAGGGAAUAUUGCCUUUAUUCUUUUUCUAAAUGUUUUUUAUUCUUUUUCUGGAAACCACCGCCACCACCGCACGAUUUCUGUUCUCAUCCUGAAGCAAAGUUCUUAACCUGAGGUACUAUUUCUGGGUUAGCAGAGUCUGUAACCUGAAGCGUCUGUAACCUGAAGCAUCUGUAACCCGAGAUACCACUGUAUUGUUGUUGUUGUUGUUGUUGUUGUUGUUGUUGUUGUUGUUGUUAUUUAAGAUGCUAAGAUAGUGAACCAUGAUCUAAUCCAGCAAGACAGUCUCUAACGCUCUUAAUUCAUAGGUUUGGAUUCUUAAGAUUGCAGUAUCCAAAUUUGACCUGUUGAUGGAGAGAGCUUCAUCUUCUGGAACAGGAGCAGGCUUUCAGACUGGAAUUGGAAUCCAUCUAGGCACAAGGCAGCAUCUGGGCAAAGGAAAUGAUAGACAGUGGGGCAGGGAUAUGGAACUUGCAGUCCUCUAAAAGUUGUGGGGUUCCUACUUCCAUCAGCCCCAUCCAGCAUGGCAAAUGGUCUGGGGUGAUGGGGGUUGGUUGGAAUCCAGCAACUUCUGAAGGGUCAGGUUCCUCAAGCCUGCUCUAGAGGUUGUUGGGCUACAGCCCUAGCCAGGAUGACCAAUGGUCAAGGGUGAUAGGGGUUGGAAUCUAUCAACAUCUGGAGGGCCACAGUUUCCACAUCACUUAAGGUGGGGGUGUCCACAGAAGCCCCUUUUGACAAAGGGAGCCUGUGGAAGCAGGAAGUCUUGUUCAGAGAUGCCUGGGGUGCGUGCGCAUACAUCUGUGUGUGCACAUGAGGCACUUGAAACACAGUUGAAACAGUAAGUGCCUUGUCGAUGGCUCCUCUUUUUCUUCACGCUGACAGCUUGACAAGUGAGCAGGAAAAAUGAAGUUGGUGAAGGAAGAAAUGCUAUCAGGAGUUCCAUGCUAAAAGGGCAGACAGGCCAGAUUGGAGGGAAAUGAGAAGCUGUCUCGGCUAAUGCAAUCAUUUAUCACAUAAUCUCACCUGGCGGUUGGGUAAGGAUGUUGGCAUGCACAAGCAUUAAUCCAGAGGUAACCAAUGGACCUCACGUACACAGGCUUUUCCCCCUUUGAGCUCACUCACUCUGUCUGAAGUGUUCUUCUAUAAUGGCUUAGCUUGCUUAUGAUGGGGGUGGCUGUUCCUGCAUGCAAAGGGCCAGGGUCUUGAAAGGGGCAUUCUAGCACUAGACCUCAUCUACCCUUUUUCCUAGGCUACAGUUGAAUGCCUGUAGUCUUCUAGAUAUUGGACUCCAACUCCCAUAAACCACAGCCAGUGUGGCCAAUGAUCAAAGACAAUGGAAACAGUAAUUCAACAUCUGGGGUGAGGAGGACACAGUUUCUCCAUCCCUGCUCUAUCAUUAUGGUAGCUUGCCAGCUGUCCUUCUUUGAGGAGCACCUCAGUAUUAGCUUUGCCCAGGGAGGGGAACUGCAGUUCCAUAUUGGCCUAUAUCAUUAACAACCGCAUCUAGGGUCCACAGUUUAAGUAGCUUGAUCCUCCUGCAUAGGCCAAGUUGGUUUUGCAGGGUUAGCCGGCCUACCCUCUUCCUAUCUACAAAUCAGACCACCAACAGUUAUCCAGGGCCGGCCCUACCAUUAGACAGAGUGGGGUGGCUUGUCUCGGACAACAAAUUAUACAGAUUAUAGGAACACGAGAGCUACCUUCUAUCAAGUUGGACCACAGGUCCAUCCAGCUAAGUGCUCAUCUACACUGUCUGGCAAGGGACACUCCCGGUCCUAUCUGGAGAUGCCAGGGAUUGAACCCAGGGUCUUCUGCAUGUAAAACAAAUGCUCUGCCACUGAGAUGUAGCCAUUCCUCCAGAUUCCAUCUGCUUAAGUGUAUAAACAUGAGGGUUUUCAGUCACUGCAAAUGUAAAUAUUUAUGCUGUUUUUGUCUCUGCAUACACACAAGACUCUUGGCUGGAGAUAAGGACAUGCAUCUCAUUCUAAUCUCAACUGGCCAAACAGAUUAGGAAUAAUCACACCAUUGAUGUCCUGGGACAUAAAAACACCCCAGGCUUUCGAAUGCAAAUACUUCUUUCAGCAAGGGGGGGGGGGGGAGAGAAAGUGAAAGAGAAAGUGGUCGGGGGAUGGGGAUUGCAUACUGUGGGAACUGUUGAAGCUUGAGAGAAAAGACCAAGUAAAUGAAAAGAAAGAAAGAAAGAAAGAAAGAAAGAAAGAAAGAAAGAAAGAAAGAAAGAUGGGAGGGCAAAUUAGAUAGCAGCGUGCACAGAUUUACUGAGGGUGGGAAAAUGGAAUGCAGAUUAUAAAGGUAUAUGGAAAAGACCAAACCAAACCUGUCCUUUCUGCAUCUAAAAUGCAACAAAAAUUUAAGAUAUAAUGUGGGAAAGUAUCUCUGCAGGCAGUGGCGUAGCGUGGGGGGUGCAGGGGGGGCCGGCCGCACCGGGCGCAACAUCUGGGGGGGGCACUCGCACUCGCAGCUCUCUGCCCCUACCUGGCUCACUCACUCUCUCUCACUGCAGUGCUGGCUGUGCGAAUCCGAUCCGAGCCGCUGGGUCGCCGCCCACUGUGGAGGGGGUGGGUGCCAGGUGUGCGGUGCGGAGAGAGAGCGAGGGACUAUCUGGGGGAGGGACAGUGCAGCGGCCGCCCAGCGCAGCGCUGAGCGUGGGAGAGAACCACACCAGACCAGCCCAGGCAGCAGCAAGAAGAAGCUGGCAGCGGCGGCAGGUUAGGGGUUAGGGGGCGCAAAUUACUUGCCUUGCCCUGGGUGCUGACAACCCACGCUACGCCGCUGUCUGCAGGAGUGUUACAUAUUUUAGUUUUCUUGUUUUUUAAUUACAGAUUACUGUUGGGAAACAUUGGGGCUCUGGCCCUAUCUGCACUAUACAUGCAAAGCUGGAUAGCUCAGUUGGCUAGAGCGUGGUGCUGAUAAUACCAAGGUUGCAGGUUUGAUUCCUGUAAGGGAGAGCUGCAUAUCCCUGCAUUGCAGGGGGUUGGACUAGAUGAUCCUCAGGGUCCCUUCCAACUCUAUGAUUCUAUAUCGCUUUAAACAGCUGUGCUUUCUUGCUCAAAGAACCCUGUGAACUGCAGUUUGCUAAGAGAGUUGUUUUGUUGUUGUUUAGUCGUGCCCGACUCUUCGUGACCCCAUGGACCAGAGCACGCCAGGCACUUCUGUCUUCCACUGCCUCCCGCAGUUUGAUCAAAGACCCCAUUCACCUCACAGAGAUGCAAUUCCCAGAGUUCCCUGGGAAGAGGGAUUGACUGCUAAACCACUCUGGGAACUGUAGCUCUGAGAGGGGAAUGUGGUGGGGUUUGUGCAUCUCCUAAUAACUCUCAGCAUCCUUAACAAUCUAUGGUUCCCAAGAUUUUUAGAGAGAAGGUGUGAAUGCUUAAAGUGGUAUUAUAGCUAGGGCUGCAAUGAUGACUUUGCUUAUAUUGCUCUGCCUUGCCUAUUCUGUAUGCAUUUUUCUUUUUGGAAGUCAUUUUAUCAGAGGUUCCUUUGGGCCUGCCAUCGAGACCCCUUUUAAACCUCAUCUCAUGCUGGAUUUACAGCUUCCUCCCACCAGCGGUUGGGGUAAUAUACUACAGAGAGCCACAAUGCAAAUGGCCUCAGCUGUGGAAUGCACUGAUGCAGCAGCAAAGGGAUUUGUUCCCUGCUCAUAUUGCAUCUCGGUCACAUUUUGCUCUGCCUCGCCAUGUUUCGGCCCAUACAACGGACUGGAUCUCUAAGGGAUUAUAAACAUCUUCCAUCAGAGAUUAUAUCAUUCACUGAAAUGUGCUCUCUUUCUGCACUUAAAGUCCCACGAUCUCACAUACUGGGCUUUUGACACUGCAAAUGACCUGAUUUCAAACUGAACAUUGAAAACCAUGAAAGUGGGUGUGUCACUCAGCUGCUACCAUGCUGUGGCUUCCAGAAACUAGUACAUGAUGGGUAUUACUUGGCUGAGAACUGUGCUGCAAAAUGCAAAGAAUUCAAGUUUUGAAGGAAGGCUGUGCUCCAGUUUGCAUAUUGCUUUGGAAAGUGUGAAUAAGCUAGAUUUACCUUUCAAUGUGAACUGAAUCAAAUCCCCGCUCCCACCAUUCCUAAUAUCACUUUUGCACUUGUCCAUUCAUGUUAGAGCAUCAAUUUCUUCUUUUUUAAAAGCUACACAGAAUUGGCAUUUAAAUUUGUUUAUCACAAAAUGCAUAUUCAAAUGGACGCAUUUCUAAACAUAUUUUCUCCUAAAAUACACAUUUGCAAGCUGCUUUUGGGUUCCUUUGCUGUGCCAAAAAUUGAAGCACACAAAUCAGAAAGGUGUGGUACUUGAAGGAUAAUUACUUCCUGAUCCACACAUUACUCCAAGUACAGAUGACAAACCAAAUUUCUCAACCACCUCCGCAAACUACAGGCUGAGGAUUUCAAUAUUCUGUGUCCUCACAUGUGGAAAAAAAAGGUCCUAGCUCUCUCCACAUAGAAAGCUAGCAUGCCAGGGAGAAGACAAGGUAGCACCCAUCUCCCUGGUGUCUAUUUUCCUAUGUGGAGUAAUGGAGGGAAGGGGGACUUGUAACCAUCCAGAUGUUGCUGGACUACAACUCCCAUAAUCCCUGACCAAUUGUCAAGCUUGCUGGGGCUGAUGGGUAUUGGAGUUUAACAGCACCUGGAGGGUGGCAUGUUCCCUACUCCAGAAUUCAACAAUCCAUUCAUACCGAAAGACCUUGAAAACUCAAAAAGUCUCUCUCUCCCCCUUUCACAUGCCUACGGUUCAUUAAUUCAAUUUUACCAUAGAAAAACAAUCCCAUACUUUAUCAAGCCAUUCCACAAAUGCUGAAGAUUUUGACUGUCUCUGAAACCUGUCAGCUGCCAUCUGAUUUGUCUCUGAGAUGUACUUUCUUCUUGACGUACAUUAGGAGGCCUGAUAAUGGAUCAGGUUGUGUUAGUCUCCAUCCUUAAAUAGGGGAGCAUUCCACCAUGCAAUUUCCCUACCUGCACUCUGAAAUGGUACAGCUCGAGCGUUAGCAUGUGACAAGCCCUUUUUGGAAUCCUGACAUUCGAGCCAAAUGAGCGACAUCAUGUAACAGCACAGGGAAGAUUUAGCAGACAUGGUUUCUGCCACGAGCACCUGCUUUCAGCAUUAGUGGCACGCGCUGGAGACAUAAAGUUUUCCCAACGCUAGCGACAGUUGUGCUCCCCCCCCCCCCCCACAACACACUCUUCUCCUCACUCCAAACCAAGAAUACAAGUCGUUAUUGCUGUUGUUAUUAUUGGGAAUGUCACUGAAGGGCUUUAGAGUGAUGGUAACGCUGCUAAUUAAUUAGAUGUGUGUACUGUUCCCUUUCUCCAGGGUGCUCAUUAGAGUAUCCCAACAAUGCUGGGGAAAGGUUUGAAACAAGCAAGAGGCAUGAAUGGAUACUAAUAAAGCCAAACAAAGUGGUGGCGAUGAAUGGAAGAGCAUGAUGAGAGGAGCCAGCCCAAAGGGGGGGGGAGCUUUAUUCUCCAAAAUGCAGCGAUUAGAAAAACAAAACCUCAACAGGGUGGGGCAUCUUUAAUUCAGUGUACUCUUCCCUAGUUAGUCAAUGGCACAUUCAUUUUAGAUUAACCGCUUUUAGCUGAGAUACAUCCCUUCCCAUUAUUCUUCUCAAAAUUCUCCCCGUGUUUAAAACCUGUUUGCAUUAUUACUCAGGGGUAGGCACAGACACACCUGGGCUGCUCAGGUAUUCAAGCUGAGCACUCAGAAAGCCUCGGGGGUUUUGUUUUGAAGCGUUGCACUUGGACAUUUUGAGCAUCUAAGUUCUCCCCUUUCCAAACCAAUCUCCACCUGCUGUUCUUCCACCCUCCCUGCCAAUCCUGAUCUCUUUCCCAAGGGAAGAAGUCAUCCUACCCUGUAGAAGGGCAGGCUAAAGGUAAAGGCACCCCUGACCAUUAGGUCCAGUUGUGACCGACUCUGGGGUUGCGGUGCUCAUCUUGCUUUAUUGGCCAAGGGAGCCGGCGUACAGCUUCCGGGUCAUGUGGCCAGCAUGACCUCUGGCGAACCAGAGCAGUGCACGGAAACACUGUUUACCUUCCCGCCAGAAUGGUACCUAUUUAUCUACUUGCACUUUGACGUGCUUUUGAACUGCUAGGUUGGCAGGAGCAGGGACCGAGCAACGGGAGCUCACCCCCUCGCGGGGAUUUGAACCGCCAACCUUCUGAUCAGCAACUCCUAGGUUCUGUGGUUAAACCACAGCUCCACCCGCGUCCCAAGGGCAGGCUAACAGGCAGCAAAGGGCAGCAUGAGCAAGCUAAGAGACGUCCCACAAUUAGUGGCAAUUGCACUUAAUAUAUGUGGGGUUUUGUGUCAGCAUCACUUGUGCAGGUUCUGUGCUUGUGUUCCUUUGGUGGUGAGAGAGGUUGGGGUUGGCCAAGGUAUGCUUCUUUAUUUGUGAUUGGCUGUGGUGAUCUUUGUUUUCAUGUGUGAGUGGGGUGGGUGUUUUGUAUCAGGCUAGCCAGAUUGAUUUGUAUGCUGUUGGUGGAUUUUUGUCAUUGUCUUGUUCAGCUGUGUAUGUGAUAAAGGGGAGCCAUCCCCUUCUUCUUCUUAAUGUCUCAACAAAUGAAACUGAUCUGUAAAAAAUGUUACUUGGAGAGAGAAAAAGAGAGAGAGACAUUGCACAUACUUUUGUAAACUAAGAAAAUCUUUAAUAAAAAUACAUUAAAAAAAAUUAGUGGCAAUUGCUGGGGAUCAUGGGCCUUGUUCUUUCCUCUUCUUUCUUCAUCCUUUUUCCUUUUGUGUUGUGUCUUUUAGGUUAUAUGCCGGAGGGGAAGGACUCUCCUGUAUUUUAGGGAUCUCUAAGCUGUUCAGGAAGCCUUUUCACCUGAAAAGUGGGAUAAAAAAAAUUCUUACAAUGCUUCAUGGUACCCUCUCUGCCUUCCUGAAAGCAAAUUGUCUCAGGAGAGUUUGGGAUUAUGAGGAAAUGUUCAUGACUUGGGGCUGUUUGAAUGCAGAAGGUUCUGUCCUAGUACUCUUCAGUGAACAGGAGAACAGAUAACAG